This 253-nucleotide ribosomal RNA is filed under the name uncultured bacterium. RNAcentral describes it as "partial 16S ribosomal RNA". It matches the Rfam family "Bacterial small subunit ribosomal RNA", at positions 524 to 776 of the family's 1533-position model. The record is from RNAcentral.
UACAGAGGUCUCAAGCGUUGUUCGGAUUCAUUGGGCGUAAAGGGUGUGUAGGUGGCGCGCUAAGUCGGGUGUGAAAUUUCGGAGCUUAACUCCGAAACUGCAUUCGAUACUGGCGUGCUUGAGGACUGGAGAGGAGACUGGAAUUCAUGGUGUAGCAGUGAAAUGCGUAGAGAUCAUGAGGAAGACCAGUGGCGAAGGCGGCAUCCUGGACCAAUUCUGACGCUGAUGAGCGAAAGCCAGGGGAGCAAACGGG